This 163-nucleotide ribosomal RNA is filed under the name Psittacanthus schiedeanus. RNAcentral's name for it is "5.8S ribosomal RNA". It matches the Rfam family "5.8S ribosomal RNA". From Rfam's summary of the family: 5.8S ribosomal RNA (5.8S rRNA) is a component of the large subunit of the eukaryotic ribosome. Lineage: Eukaryota; Viridiplantae; Streptophyta; Magnoliopsida; Santalales; Loranthaceae. The record is from RNAcentral.
UAACGACUCUUGGCAACGGAUAUCUCGGCUCUCGCAUCGAUGAAGAACGCAGCGAAAUGCGAUACCUGGUGUGAAUUGCAGAAUCCCGUGAAUCAUCGAGUCUUUGAACGCAAGUUGCGCCCGAGGCCAUUUGGUCUAGGGCACGCCUGCCUGGGUGUCACAC